Vicia faba (fava bean) is the source of this 231-nucleotide non-coding RNA. Lineage: Eukaryota; Viridiplantae; Streptophyta; Magnoliopsida; Fabales; Fabaceae. The record is from the annotation of a GenBank genome assembly.
AUGAAAUUCUGCACUAUAUCUUCAAUUUUCCAUCAUUGUCGACGUUGUUCAUCCACCGUAGAACGGGUAACAAGAACUUUCUUGUUAAGAUCACUUUUAGGUGCAAUACUACCAAGGCCUUUAAGGUGGAAAAGAUUGUGUACCUUUCGAGCAAUAAGGACACCACAAAUGGCUCCCAAUGUAAAUGUAAAAAAUGCCUUCAACAUACUUUUAGAUAGAAAACACAAAUGA